This is a long non-coding RNA of Ricinus communis (castor bean), 1490 nucleotides long. RefSeq lists it as uncharacterized. The record is from RefSeq and is a predicted model, not a curated record. Lineage: Eukaryota; Viridiplantae; Streptophyta; Magnoliopsida; Malpighiales; Euphorbiaceae. The transcript has 2 exons.
AUCUGAAAUCAAUUAAACAACAGAAAAUAAGUUUGAAACCUGAUAAAUUUAAAAAUAUAUAUAAAAAAUAUGGUAGCGUAUUGUAUUAGCCAUAAUUGUAGCCUGAUUUGUGAAUAAUGUAGCAGUGCACAGGCCCUUGCUAGCAAAAUAAAAAUGUACCAAGUAUUCAGCUUUUUGAUAGAGGAGCAUGCGGUAACAAACUUAUUUCCAUGGCAUUCCAAGAUCAUAAAAAAUGCACCAUAGAAACCUCUCCACCUUCAUCUCAUUCCAUAUGCAUUAACAUGCCAAAGUAAAGUUGUUUCUAAAAUUUUCAAAUUCCUAACCACAGUUUUGAAUAGUGAGUAGAAGGAGAGGGAAAUCAGUUGAUGCACCCCCAGUGUGCAUACAUGCAGCAUGGUUAAAUAGGUCACAAUUACAAACUCAAAUGCAGGCCCAACUUAAUGUCAUAUCCAGUUUCAGAAUGCUGGAAUUGAUGGUUAAUCCAUAAGUGCUAUAGCCUUCAGUGAAAUAAUUUGUUAAUGCAGAUUUCAUGUAACAGCUUAAAGUGCUUCGCUAAGAGGAAAGGAAAUUAUAUUCCUUUCAUCAGAUUUUGGAGAAUGCAUUUUAAUUUCUAUAUUUCCAGACAAAAGGAUAUUGUAAUUUGGAAAGCUAUCCUCCAAGGAUCCUAGCACCUUUUAAAAUAUAUUGUGCCUAAUCAGCUUCUUCUAAGCUACUAGCUUUCCUUGAAUCACCUGUGAAUCACUUACAGAAAAAUCUGAGGCUAAUGAACCAGUCAUGACAUUUUAGAAGGAAGUGUCACUUAUAAACAUGUACAGAGGUAUUCACCUAUUUGUUGCUUCCAACUAUGUAAGCAAUACAUCCAUGCUCUUAACCCUUUCAGCUGCUAAUUUAGCAAACAAAUCAAGUAUUUCAAAUUAGUCCUCGAAUAUAACAUACCUUGUAGCAGAGUUCUGCUGCAUCAGUUUUUUUGGUAUCAGAUACAAGAAUAGUAGCCUAUGCUACUGUAGAGCAGGGAAAGAAUCUACCAGAAAAGGAUGAAAAAUGGCCAAAUUUUACGAAAGUUAAAGACAGUUUUUGAUGAAAUAUGGGCAAGAGACAUUGGCAGUAACGGGUGGAAUAUCCAGAUGAGCUUUUAAACAACUAAGUUAAACAUUGAUUUGGCUAAAAUGCAAAGCGAAAAUGAGACUGUGUGUUCUUUAACAUGUUUCCUAAUUUUAUAGUUUUUAAAUUAUUUGGAAACAAGCUCGUUAUGAAAACUGAAAAUACAAAAGGAUAUUCAAAAAGGAAAAGUACAAAAUCAUACAAUUAGAUGAAAAAGCUCUUUUUGAUGCUACACAGACUCUAAUUACAACAGUGUUUUAUUAUCCAAGUCAAUUUCUUUGAAGUUGGAAGUACCAACCACUAUCCAAGUGCUUUCUUUCUUCUUUCCUUUUCUUGAAGAUAAUUAAAUUUGCAAUUCUAGACAAGAAUGAAAGAGAAAUUCAUAACUA